Molecule: long non-coding RNA, 104 nt
Organism: Camelina sativa (false flax)
Lineage: Eukaryota; Viridiplantae; Streptophyta; Magnoliopsida; Brassicales; Brassicaceae
Source: RefSeq, a predicted model, not a curated record
CUGGAUAUCGUUGAACUGCUUCUCAAGGGAUGCAAAUCAUUCAAGAACUACGAGAAGAAGUGCAAGACGUUGGUGUUCGAGUAUGGACCUCUGAUCCUAGUAAA